GGUAUAGCUCAGUGGUAGAGUGUAUGCUUAGCACGCUCGAGGUCCUGGGUUCAAUCCCCAGUUUAAUCA
This 69-nucleotide transfer RNA is filed under the name Camelus bactrianus (Bactrian camel). It matches the Rfam family "tRNA". From Rfam's summary of the family: Transfer RNA (tRNA) molecules are approximately 80 nucleotides in length. Their secondary structure includes four short double-helical elements and three loops (D, anti-codon, and T loops). RNAcentral also lists the same sequence under 2 other names. The record is from Rfam by way of RNAcentral. Lineage: Eukaryota; Metazoa; Chordata; Mammalia; Artiodactyla; Camelidae.